ACGGAGCAACGCCGCGUGAGUGAUGAAGGCUUUCGGGUCGUAAAACUCUGUUGUUAGGGAAGAACAAGUACRAGAGUAACUGCUYGUACCUUGACGGUACCUAACCAGAAAGCCACGGCUAACUACGUGCCAGCAGCCGCGGUAAUACGUAGGUGGCAAGCGUUAUCCGGAAUUAUUGGGCGUAAAGCGCGCGCAGGCGGUUUCUUAAGUCUGAUGUGAAAGCCCACGGCUCAACCGUGGAGGGUCAUUGGAAACUGGGGAACUUGAGUGCAGAAGAGAAAAGCGGAAUUCCACGUGUAGCGGUGAAAUGCGUAGAGAUGUGGAGGAACACCAGUGGCGAAGGCGGCUUUUUGGUCUGUAACUGACGCUGAGGCGCGAAAGCGUGGGGAGCAAACAGGAUUAGAUACCCUG
This 411-nucleotide ribosomal RNA is filed under the name Priestia flexa. RNAcentral describes it as "bacterial SSU rRNA". It matches the Rfam family "Bacterial small subunit ribosomal RNA", at positions 386 to 789 of the family's 1533-position model. The record is from RNAcentral. Lineage: Bacteria; Bacillati; Bacillota; Bacilli; Caryophanales; Bacillaceae.